Long non-coding RNA from Fundulus heteroclitus (mummichog), 619 nucleotides. RefSeq lists it as uncharacterized. The transcript is spliced from 2 exons. The record is from RefSeq and is a predicted model, not a curated record. NCBI's taxonomy places the organism in Eukaryota, Metazoa, Chordata, Actinopteri, Cyprinodontiformes, Fundulidae.
GAACAACUCAGUGAUGGGGGCUAUGCUCUGAAUAAAAGCCACCAACCUUCUCAGAUGCCAGGUGGUUGCAUUGGCUCUGAUGACUGAUGCCAGCGACUCCGUCUGAAUGAUUCAGAUCACUGACUGAUCCGAAUCACGACGUUGCUAGACAGGACAAAGGCUAGCAGAAACCGGAUUCCUCCAUCUGUGUUCUGGACUCCUGUGAUCUCCUUCCUGAUUCCUCGUGUCUGUGUGGAGAUCCCCAUCCUGGAUUUCUCUCCUUCUCUCUGCCACUCCUCCUGGUAACCAAGUCUUUACCUGUUUUCUCACUUCUCUUACCGGCCUGUCCCCCUUUUCGACAUGCCAAGGCUCACCAGCUCCUACUGGGAAAGAAAGGACAAAACGUUACCGGACGAUCAUACACUUCCCAAAGUCAGCUCUGGGUGGACUCACUUUCCCCUGGAACCCCAACCAUCUCUGCAUCUGCAAGCUCCUCUCAUUAAUACCAGUCCAUUUUUCAUCUCCUGAAACCAAAUCUAAUUAGCGACUUACCUGUUUUCCCAGCGUCUGGAAACUCGGUCCUGAGAAGCCACCAAACAUCAUUUAUGUGUAUUCUUACAAUAAAGGUCUUUGUAUAACA